GAUGAACGCUGGCGGCGUGCCUAAUACAUGCAAGUCGAGCGAACAGACGAGGAGCUUGCUUCUCUGACGUUAGCGGCGGACGGGUGAGUAACACGUGGAUAACCUACCUAUAAGACUGGGAUAACUUCGGGAAACCGUAGCUAAUACCGGAUAAUAUUUUGAACCGCAUGGUUCAAUAGUGAAAGACGGUCUUGCUGUCACUUAUAGAUGGAUCCGCGCUGCAUUAGCUAGUUGGUAAGGUAACGGCUUACCAAGGCAACGAUGCAUAGCCGACCUGAGAGGGUGAUCGGCCACACUGGAACUGAGACACGGUCCAGACUCCUACGGGAGGCAGCAGUAGGGAAUCUUCCGCAAUGGGCGAAAGCCUGACGGAGCAACGCCGCGUGAGUGAUGAAGGUCUUCGGAUCGUAAAACUCUGUUAUUAGGGAAGAACAUAUGUGUAAGUAACUGUGCACAUCUUGACGGUACCUAAUCAGAAAGCCACGGCUAACUACGUG
RNAcentral lists this ribosomal RNA (497 nucleotides) under uncultured bacterium. RNAcentral's name for it is "partial 16S ribosomal RNA". It matches the Rfam family "Bacterial small subunit ribosomal RNA", at positions 28 to 507 of the family's 1533-position model. The record is from RNAcentral.